UAGGGAAUAUUGGACAAUGGGUGAGAGCCUGAUCCAGCCAUGCCGCGUGCAGGAUGAAGUAUUUCGGUAUGUAAACUUCGAAAGAAUAGGAAGAAUAAAUGACGGUACUAUUUAUAAGGUCCGGCUAACUACGUGCCAGCAGCCGCGGUAAUACGUAGGGACCAAGCGUUGUUCGGAUUUACUGGGCGUAAAGGGCGCGUAGGCGGCAAUUCAAGUCAUCUGUGAAAUCUCCGGGCUUAACUCGGAACGGUCAGAUGAUACUGCUUUGCUAGAGUGCAGAAGGGGCAAUCGGAAUUCUUGGUGUAGCGGUGAAAUGCGUAGAUAUCAAGAGGAACACCUGAGGUGAAGACGGGUUGCUGGGCUGACACUGACGCUGAGGCGCGAAAGCCGGGGGAGCAAACGGGGAUUAGAUACCCAAGUAGUCCCUGAGCGGGCUGGCAAGGCGCAU
Molecule: ribosomal RNA, 448 nt
Filed under: uncultured bacterium
Lineage: Bacteria
Description: bacterial SSU rRNA
Rfam family: Bacterial small subunit ribosomal RNA
Source: RNAcentral